RNAcentral lists this long non-coding RNA (239 nucleotides) under Brassica napus (rape). RNAcentral's name for it is "long non-coding RNA (BNAP_LNC002931)". The record is from RNAcentral. Lineage: Eukaryota; Viridiplantae; Streptophyta; Magnoliopsida; Brassicales; Brassicaceae.
UUUUCUAAGAGAAUGCUCAUCUAUCACCAAAAAUUCUAUUUAUCCUAAUUUAUAAGUCACAAUCCUAAAUCUACAAUAGUUCUCUAUUUAAAUAAAAACUUUCAAAAAAUGGCAGCUUUCGUAAAAGUUAUUGAAAAAAUACAACCUAUUGAUGAAAAAUUCUGCAAAAUACUCAUCUAUCAACAAAAAUUCUUGUUAUCCUAAUUCCAAAGUCACAACCCCAAAUAUAUUAUGAUUAG